UAGGGAAUUUUCCGCAAUGGGCGCAAGCCUGACGGAGCAACGCCGCGUGCAGGAGGAAGGCCUUCGGGUUGUAAACUGCUUUUAUCUGUGAAGAUUUUGACAGUAACAGAAGAAUAAGGACCUGCUAACUACGUGCCAGCAGCCGCGGUCAUACGUAGGGUCCAAGCGUUAUCCGGAAUUACUGGGCGUAAAGAGUUGCGUAGGUGGCAUAGUAAGCAAAUAGUGAAAUGACGAGGCUCAACCUUGUGUCCAUUAUUUGAACUGCUAAGCUAGAGCAUGAGAGAGGUAGAUGGAAUUUCUAGUGUAGGAGUGAAAUCCGUAGAUAUUAGAAGGAACACCGAUGGCGUAGGCAGUCUACUGGCUUAUUGCUGACACUAAGGCACGAAAGCGUGGGGAGCGAACGGGAUUAGAUACCCCUGUAGUCC
Molecule: ribosomal RNA, 425 nt
Filed under: uncultured bacterium
Lineage: Bacteria
Description: bacterial SSU rRNA
Rfam family: Bacterial small subunit ribosomal RNA
Source: RNAcentral